RNAcentral lists this ribosomal RNA (503 nucleotides) under uncultured bacterium. RNAcentral's name for it is "partial 16S ribosomal RNA". It matches the Rfam family "Bacterial small subunit ribosomal RNA", at positions 30 to 523 of the family's 1533-position model. The record is from RNAcentral.
AUUGAACGCUGGCGGCAGGCUUAACACAUGCAAGUCGAGCGGGGUGAUGGUGCUUGCACUAUCACUUAGCGGCGGACGGGUGAGUAAUGCUUAGGAAUCUGCCUAUUAGUGGGGGACAACAUCUCGAAAGGGAUGCUAAUACCGCAUACGUCCUACGGGAGAAAGCAGGGGAUCACUUGUGACCUUGCGCUAAUAGAUGAGCCUAAGUCGGAUUAGCUAGUUGGUGGGGUAAAGGCCUACCAAGGCGACGAUCUGUAGCGGGUCUGAGAGGAUGAUCCGCCACACGGGGACUGAGACACGGCCCAGACUCCUACGGGAAGCAGCAGUGGGGAAUAUUGGACAAUGGGGGGAACCCUGAUCCAGCCAGGCCGCGUGUGUGAAGAAGGCCUUAUGGUUGUAAAGCACUUUAAGCGAGGAGGAGGCUCUUUUGGUUAAUACCCAAGAUGAGUGGACGUUACUCGCAGAAUAAGCACCGGCUAACUCUGUGCCAGCCGCCGCCGUAA